This 500-nucleotide ribosomal RNA is filed under the name uncultured bacterium. Its description in RNAcentral is "partial 16S ribosomal RNA". It matches the Rfam family "Bacterial small subunit ribosomal RNA", at positions 30 to 523 of the family's 1533-position model. The record is from RNAcentral.
AUUGAACGCUGGCGGCAUGCCUUACACAUGCAAGUCGAACGGCAGCACGGGAGCAAUCCUGGUGGCGAGUGGCGAACGGGUGAGUAAUAUAUCGGAACGUGCCCAGUCGUGGGGGAUAACGCAGCGAAAGCUGUGCUAAUACCGCAUACGAUCUAAGGAUGAAAGCGGGGGAUCGCAAGACCUCGCGUGAUUGGAGCGGCCGAUAUCAGAUUAGCUAGUUGGUGGGGUAAAGGCCCACCAAGGCGACGAUCUGUAGCUGGUCUGAGAGGACGACCAGCCACACGGGAACUGAGACACGGUCCAGACUCCUACGGGAGGCAGCAGUGGGGAAUUUUGGACAAUGGGCGCAAGCCUGAUCCAGCAAUGCCGCGUGCAGGAUGAAGGCCUUCGGGUUGUAAACUGCUUUUGUACGGAACGAAACGGCCCUUUCUAAUACAGGGGGCUAAUGACGGUACCGUAAGAAUAAGCACCGGCUAACUACGUGCCAGCCGCCGCCGUAA